UUAAUUGAAGCCAAAACUUUAGAGGCCUUUCAUUGUUAAUGAAAUUAUUGAUUUUAAUAUCCAAUUAAA
This 69-nucleotide transfer RNA is filed under the name Hoplistodera incisa. RNAcentral describes it as "tRNA-Asn". The record is from RNAcentral. Lineage: Eukaryota; Metazoa; Arthropoda; Insecta; Hemiptera; Pentatomidae.